CGCUGGCGGCGUGCCUAAUACAUGCAAGUCGAACGGCUUUUCUAUGGAAGCUUGCUUCCACUGAGAAGAUAGUGGCGAACGGGUGAGUAACACGUGGGUAACCUGCCCAUAAGAGGGGGAUAACAUCCGGAAACGGGUGCUAAUACCGCAUAGUUUUCUUGAUCGCAUGAUUGAGAAAGGAAAGACGGCCUUUGUGCUGUCGCUUAUGGAUGGGCCCGCGGCGUAUUAGUUAGUUGGUGAGGUAAUGGCUCACCAAGACGAUGAUACGUAGCCGACCUGAGAGGGUGAUCGGCCACAUUGGGACUGAGACACGGCCCAAACUCCUACGGGAGGCAGCAGUAGGGAAUCUUCCGCAAUGGACGAAAGUCUGACGGAGCAACGCCGCGUGAGUGAAGAAAAGGUUUUCGGAUCGUAAAACUCUGUUGUCAGAGAAGAACAAGUUGGAGAGUAACUGCUCCAGCCUUGACGGUAUCUGACCAGAAAGCCACGGCUAACUACGUGCCAGCCGCUGC
This 512-nucleotide ribosomal RNA is filed under the name uncultured bacterium. RNAcentral describes it as "bacterial SSU rRNA". It matches the Rfam family "Bacterial small subunit ribosomal RNA", at positions 34 to 518 of the family's 1533-position model. The record is from RNAcentral.